CCCACGCUAGCUCAGCCUGGUAGAGCUUCCGGCUGUAGACCGGAGUGUCGCAAGUUCGAAUCCUGCGCGUGGGACCA
Molecule: transfer RNA, 77 nt
Filed under: Nitrososphaerota archaeon
Lineage: Archaea; Thermoproteati; Nitrososphaerota
Also listed under: 1 other name
Description: Thaumarchaeota archaeon tRNA-Tyr
Rfam family: tRNA
About the family: Transfer RNA (tRNA) molecules are approximately 80 nucleotides in length. Their secondary structure includes four short double-helical elements and three loops (D, anti-codon, and T loops).
Source: RNAcentral